Arachis duranensis is the source of this 7022-nucleotide RNA transcript. RefSeq lists it as uncharacterized. The transcript has 5 exons. Lineage: Eukaryota; Viridiplantae; Streptophyta; Magnoliopsida; Fabales; Fabaceae. The record is from RefSeq and is a predicted model, not a curated record.
CUCUCUCAGACAGAAACCCUAAUCCACUGCCCCUUCUUCUCAGCCAGCAGCCCCUCUCUCUCAGCCAGCAGCAGCAGCCGUCACCGCUUCCACCGUCGCCGAACUCUUCUCGUCAGCCAGAUGGUGCCUUGCCGCCGGCAGUGACAGAGAGAGGGUCAGCUCGAAGCUUUUGGCCGUCGAUCCUCUUCUCCUCCACGUCGUCGCCUCUGGACUUGCAGAUCGAAGCUUGUGGUCGUCUUCUCUACAUCGUCGUCGUAUUCAUCGUCGUGUACUUGCAGAUCGAAGCGCGGUCGGUUGGAUUCCUCCAUCGCUGGUCAGUUUGCUCGAUCCUCGUCUCUGUCUCGUCGUUCCUCCCUUGCCGGUAGUCGAGUUUCGUUCCUUCCUCGCCGCCUGUUCCAUUCCUCCAUCGACGUCAGUUUGGUUCCUCCUUCGUCGCUGCCAUCCACCACCACUCCCACCCCUCCCCUCCACUCCCACUCUUCCCUCUUUCUUGUUAUGCCUCGCCUCCCUUCUCCUUUUGCCAAUAACCCAUCCCCUCCCCUUUUGCGGCCACCCUUUCCCUCUUUGUCGUUUCUUCCCUUUUCGCUCCACCAGCAACCCUCUGUCCACCAUAUUGUCAAGGUAUUAAAUUACUUCGAUUAAGUUGUGCAGUUUUGACACACGGUUGAAGUUAUUUCAAAGGAUGUUGGUGAUUUUUGUUUGUUCUAUUGGAUUUCGGUUCGUGAAGGACUUGAAGUGUUUAGCUUUGUUGUUGCUUGGAGUUGAGGACAGAAGCUGGAGAAGGAUGUCUAAUGGCACCUUCUCGAUCCUUUGUUUGUUGGAAAUUGAUUAUUAGCUCAUGCUUUCGAAAUUGUUUAUUCUGUGAAAAAUGAUUAUAUUAUUUGGUGGGAUGCCUUUACUUUAUGGGGAUAUUUUGUAGAAUUUUUUUAAAGUUAUGAUGUCAUUAAUGUCUUGAUUGCUUUACUUCAAUUGGAUGUUUUGUUGAAAUGUUGAAAAAAAAAUUGUCAUAUUAUUGAAGUUUAGAUUGUUAGCAUUUUGGGACAUUGUUUCCAAUUCAUCAUUCAUGCAGCUCCUUACUAUUGCUUCCGUUGCUCCUCUUCCCUUUUGAUGAUCUACCAGUUCUGGCUUGUUGAUUUAAAAAUAAAUUUUGAUCACAAGAUUAUGUACAUAUAAUAUAUUUAAAUAGAUAUCAAUUUUAUAAAAAUAAAAUUUCAAUUAUUUCUCAUCAUAUUUAGCAUGGGAUUAUUAGAUAGUAAGAAUUAUUUUCUAUUUAAAAAAAUUAAAUUCUGUUACACAUUACCCUCAAAUUCAGAGGGAAAAAAAUGACGGUAAUAUUUAGAUAAAUCAUCAAAUAAAUUAUUUUGUUUGCGUUGUAUCCAAAAAACUGAUGGUAAUAUUUUCCGUCGAGAUUUCUGUCAGUAGUUUGCGUUUUUUCUUUAGUAUCAACACUGCAAGUUGCUCACACACUCCUCAAACACGAAGCCUCCAGCCCUCCACCCUUGUCCUCGCUGCUGGUGGUUCCUCUCGUUGCAUCUGACACUGCUUGUCUCUUGUUCGUCAUCGCCUUUCUUCCCCUCUUGUUUACCAUCUGCCUCUGCUUGUGUCUAGUUUGCCACACCAUUUGCCUCCGCUUGCUUAUGUUCGCUUUUUUGUUUCGAUAAGGAUAACUACUUCCACUCCUUUAGGAUCCCCUACCAGCAAGGGAUUUUUUUUAUGUUGUGAUCCCUUUCAUUCUCUUGAAAGAUAAGCUUCAAAGACUUCAUUUACAGCAAUAAGUCUUCGGUGGUCCUCCAUGUGGUUUGUUUAUCUUCCAAGUCUGGAUCUUCGUCCAAAUCCUCAACCAACAUGAGUAUACAGUGUUUCAUCUUAUAAACAUGGUCCUUGAUCAAUAGUUGAAACCUCCCCACAUUUGAAGCAAAGUUGCCUUUCUACUUCGCUCUUGCAACUCUGUUUGGGAGAGAUGGCGCCCUUCACUUCUAUUCUCCAUUCUCCAUCAAUAGUUGUCUCUGUUGAGUCCUGUUGAGAGUGCAACCUACCUUGUUGGGCCAUGUUCUAGUAGCAUCAAGCUUGCUUCGAAAUAGGUUUGACACCCUUUGAGGCCUAAUCCCGAUUCACUCCUCUUCUCUAUUCUUUGUGUCUUCUUAUAAGAGAAUAACCCUAUCUUUGAUUUCAAAUAAUGAGUCCAAGUAAGCUUCUAUCUCCACUUUUUGGCCUAUGUGCAUUAGUGAAUAUAGUUUUUAGUAUUUCUCUUUGCAUCGUUAAAUUUUUUUAAACUGGUCUAUAAAAUUCAUUAUCGACUCACCUUGUUGGAGCUUCAAAAGUGAACCAAUUCAAGGCCUUCUCCAUUGCAAGCAGUACCAAGUGAUACGUUUGUCACCCUCAACUUUGUUCAACAUAAAGUGACGCGUUCAAUAUUCACUAAUCGCACAAACACGUCUUCACCCAUGAAAAUGGCAAUUCAUCUUUCGAUCUUGGUCGUGUCGUCGACGGUGAGGGUUGUCCAGUGACGAGUGCGACAUUUGGCUUUCUCGAAAAUAACCUUCUGAAAUGCACCUCUGCGGGAAUGGGGGGAUUAAUACUCCUCUAGGAGAUGGGACUGAGAGUCGUGGAGCUCUUUGUAGCAAACUAGCAAUGUGGGGAGUCACUCCCCUCCUUUGAACGCCCCCUCCUUUGAACGCCUUGGACCCAAUUACAUUGGCCCAUUGAGUUUACCCUUUUGGUUGCCUUCUCACCCUUCAAGAGUCGCAUAAUCUCAACGAACUCUAUCUUUAACGUAUUUAUCCUUUCUUACAUGGCAGAAUUAGAAGGAAGGCUCACAAACCUUCGCAAAGCUUCAAGAAUAAGAGCUCUGGUCCAAAUUGUAAGAAAUCAAACAUAGAAAUUAGAUGGAAUAGUAUAAUAGUAUUAUUCACCCUGAUGAGUCUGGAUCUCAACAAGAAGCCAAUGGAAAUAGGGACCUAUAGCAACCCCACUCUCCUGAGCCAAUUUUCAAAUUCAGCCUGCCUUUUCUUUUUUUCCCAUGUACCCGUCUUUCCCAUGAUAGCAAUUACACGUGUUAGUAUGGUAGUCCCUUUCUCUCAAUUUAUGCCCAAGGCAAAUACUUGGAAACCCACUCAAUUUUCCACUUUCUGGUUCAGCUUAAUUCCAAAACUGUCCAUGCACCUUUUGCGCAUAUACACCUGUCGUGCUCGACGGUGCUAUUGUGAUAUGCCGUUGUGGAUUUUGAGCUUUCCGCCGUAGCAAAUUGUUUUGUCUCGGAAAAUCACGGCAAUUUGCAACUGUCCACGGUGGAAAUGGCUGGUUUAGGUUGCAAUUUUUUUGAAUUUGAGAUAUAAUUUGGUAAUUUAGAAACUAUCUUAUUCUGAGGUUGGUGUUAAUAAAUUGAAAUUUUUUUGUUAAGAAGGUUUUUAAUUAUGUUAACUAAUUAAAAAAAUAAACAAUAAAAAAUGCCUCGAAUGGACUCUCAAUUGAUUCAAACAUAAAUCUUUAACCUCUGUUAUGUAUAGAGUGUCUUCUUUAAAUGAUAAAUUUAAAACCUUAUUAAUAAUAUUUAGUAAGGUGGUGACAUCAGACGUAGCUGUUCUUUUUUAUUUUUUCUUGUUCUUUCAUGUCAGUUAUAAUUCCACGUUUCUGUCCAUUACAUAUUUGAACUUUGAUAUCAUCCUUCAAACUUAAAUUUUCGUGGUAUUCACCUUUUAAAUGUAACAUUUUUAGACCUUCACAGAUAGGUCUAAAGAUUGAUAUAAAAUAUUCUUAUGUUUUCCCACCAAUCUCUAUUCGUCCAUUCAGCCUUCAAACUUUUUUUGGUCUCUGUCCAAGAAUCCAAAUCCGAAUCAUAAUAUUCUGAAAUUAUCUUUUUUUGUGAUAAAUGCAAAAAAUGCAUUCUCAAAAAUAAAUUUUCAUUGAAAAUACUUCACUUGACUUAUCUUGUGUAUCGACGAUGUAGUUCAUCAGCCUUAUGGUCUUCAGAGAACUGAUUAACCAUCACCCUAUAUGGAAAAGGGGAAGGCAAAUCUGAAAAUCCACCAUUACCAGACAUGUGCAUGUAAUUGUAACAAAACUGGUUUUUUUCAGAUAUUUCAGACAUGACGUCUUUUUUUCUUAAAUUAAAAAACAUCAGAAGAAAAUUACAAAUAUUAAAACUCAAGCAAUUUUCUAAUUUGUAAUUUAAAUACUUAGUAAGCAAGCAAAAUUGAGUUUUGUUUGUAAUUAGAAGAUUAGAAAAUUACAAAUUAGAAAAUUGCUUGAGUCUUAGAGUUUGUAAUUUUCUUUUAAUGAUGUUUUUUAACUUAGGGAAAAAAGGUGUCAUGUCUGAAAUAUCUGAAAAAAAGGCCAGGUUUGUUACAAUUACAUGCACGGGUCGGUUAUAGUGGAUUUUCAGAUUUGCUUUUCCCUCUUCCUUAUAGUGUGAUGGUUAAUCAGUUUUCUGAAGACCAUAAGACUGAUGAACUAGAGCGUCGAUAGACAAAAUAAGUCAAGUGGAGUAUUUUUUAUGGAAAUUUAUUCUUGAGAAUGCAUUUUUUGCAUUUAUCACGGAAAAGAAUAAUUUCAGAAUAUUAUUAUUCGAAUUUAAAUUCUUGGCCAGAGACAAAAAAAAGUUUGAAGGCUGGACGGGUGGAAAUUGGUGGGAGAACAUAAGAAAAGAUUUUAUAUCAAUUUUUAGACUUGUCUGUGAAGGUUUAAAAAUGUUACAUUUAAAGGGUAAAUACUAUGGGAAUUUAAGUUUGAAGGAUGGUAUUAAGGUUCAAAUAUGUAAUGGACAGAGACAUGGGGUUCUAACUGAGAUGAAAGAGCAAGACAAAAAUAAAAAAGAGACCUUACUAAAUAUUAUUAGUAAGGUUUUAAAUUUCUCAUUUAAAGAAGACACUCUAUACAUAAAGGAGGUUGAAGAUUUAUGUUUGAAUCAAUUGAGAGUCUAUUCGAGAUAUUUUUUAUUGUUUAUUGUUUUUAAUUAGUUAACAUGAUGAGAGAUCUUCAUAGCUGAAAAAAAUUUCAAUUUAGUGACACCGACUUCAGAAUAAAGUGGAAUUUCGAUUCGAUUUUAUGGUUUUUUAAAGUAAUAAAUUACAUCUCAAAUUCAAAAUAAUUGCAACCUAAAUCCGCCAUUGCAGACCGCCGUGAUUACCGAGACAAAACAGCUUUGCUACGGCGGAAAGCUCAAAAUCCGCAACGGCAUGAAAGCAUGGCAGGUAUAUAGGCACAAAAGGUUCAGCGACUGUUUCGGAAUUAAGUAGGAUCAAGGUGGAAAAAUGGAGUGGCUCCCCAAGUAUUGUUAACUUGGCAAACAUUGAGAGAAGGGGAAUGCCAUGCUAAGACAUGGGUGUGCACAUGGCGCGCGUAUAAAGGGGAAGAAAGGAAAGACAGACUGAAUUUGGGAAUUGGCUUAGGAGAGCGGGGUUGCUAUAAGGUCCUAUUUUCGUUGGUUUCUCGUUGAGAUCCACAUUUGUCAGGGUGAAUAAUAUUAUUAUACUACUCCGUUUAAUUUCUAUGUUUGGACUAGAGCUCUUGUCCUUGAAGCUUUGGAAGCCUUCCUUUUAAUUCUGCCAUGUAGGAAAGGAUGAAUACGUUAAAGAUGGAGUUUGAAGAGAUUAUGCGACUCUUAAAGGGACAGAGGGCAACCAAAAGGGUAAACUCAAGGAGAGGUGUGAUUCCCUCACUGCUAGUAUGCUACAAAGAGGUGUUUGGGCGAUUAGUGAAUAUUGAACGCGUUACUUUGUGUUGAAUAGAGUUGAGAGUGACGAGCGUAUCACUUGGUACUGCCUGCAAUGGAGAAGUCCUUGAAUUGGUUUGCUCGUGGAAGCUCCAAUAAAGUGGGUCGAUGAUGGAUUUCAUAGACCAAUUUGAAAAAAUUUAACGACCCAUGCAAAGAGAAAUACUAAAGACUAUAUUCACUAAUGAACUUAGGCCAGAAUUACAAGCGGAGAUAAAAGCUUAGUUGGGCUCAUUAUUUGAAAUCAAAGAGGGUUAUUCACUUAUAAGAAGACACUAGAGAAUGGAAAAGAGGAGUGGAUUAGGCCUCAAAGGGUGUCAAACUAUUUUGAAGCAGGCUUGAUGCUAUUAGAACAUGGUCUAACAAAGUAGGUAGCACUCUCAAUAGUGAUAACAGCCAUCUAUCUAUCGAGCAGAAUGGGGGAAGGGCGCCAUCAGUUGCUGCAAGAGCGAAGUAGUAAGAGGUUUUGCUUCAAAUGUGGGGACCACUGAGGACUUAUUGCUUAAAUGAAGUCUUUGAAGCUGAUGGUUUCAGUGGCUAAGAGAAGGGGGGGUUGAAUCUUAACCCCCUUUUUUUUGCUUGCUAAAACUUGCUGUACUUAGAAGAGACUUCUCUGUUUUAUCUCGUCCCUAGCCACGAGACAUUUUCAUUUUGUCUCGUCACUUGACACGAGACAUUUUUGAUUCUUCAUCUGAACAGUAAAAACAGAAUUGAAGUAGGAAGAAAGAGAGAAGAUUACACCCAGAUAUAUCCUGGUUCAGCUGCUAAGUGCAGUGCAGCCUACAUCCAGUCUCCAUCACAACAAUGAUGGAAGAAGAAGCACCUCGGGAGAUUAUGCGGGAGAUCGAGUGGAUAGAAGAAGCACCUCGGGCAUGUGUUGUUUCCUUGGAAGCUCACUCAACAUGUGGUCAAGCAAGAAACAAGCCACAGUGGCUCUAUCCACGGCUGAAGCUGAAUAUAUAUCCGCAUCUGUUUGUUGUUCACAAUUAAUUUGGUUAAAAACUCAAUUGGAAGAUUACAAAUUAAAAAUCAAUAGUAUAACCUUAUUUUGUGGUAACAUGAGUGCAAUAAAUAUUUCUAAGAACCCUGUUCUGCACUCAAGAACAAAGCACAUUGAAAUUAAAUAUCAUUUUAUUAGAGAACAUGUGCAAAAUGGUACUAUUGAUAUUCAAUUUGUAAAAUCUGAAGAACAACUUGCUGAUAUUUUUACAAAAUCUCUCUGUGAAGAUAGAUUCUGUUUGUUAAGAACAAGUUUGGGAAUGUUUGAUUUGAAACAUGUUGAAAACUUGUGAAUUUCUGAUUCUGUCCGGUU